AUGAAGUUUAUAGACCCAAAGGUUGUGAAUGGAAGCAUUGAGGUUGAGAUUGAAGCAGAAGAUACCAUUUCUGAUAUAAAGUUGUGGGAACCUUCGAUUGUCUUGUAUGCCCUGGGAGGAGAGCUUAGUAUGAACGCGGUUAAAAACUUCAUGAUCAAGAAUUGGAGUUUUGUGCAGCUCCUAGAUAUGUAUUAUCACGAGGAAUGA
This 207-nucleotide long non-coding RNA is filed under the name Vicia faba (fava bean). Lineage: Eukaryota; Viridiplantae; Streptophyta; Magnoliopsida; Fabales; Fabaceae. The record is from RNAcentral.